Molecule: long non-coding RNA, 1200 nt
Filed under: Monodelphis domestica (gray short-tailed opossum)
Lineage: Eukaryota; Metazoa; Chordata; Mammalia; Didelphimorphia; Didelphidae
Description: lncRNA (ENSMODG00000031751.2)
Source: RNAcentral
AUACUACUGGUAACACAGUAGUAAGGCCACGGGAAGUCUGAAGGAGAAAAGAAAUUCAUCUUUAUGGCAUCUAAGUGCAAGAAGAGCAUCUAUAAACCUGCUUUUUAUUAGCGGGAUCAUCAUGCUGUCAUUUGCUCACAGCCUGCAGAUAGUCCUGGGUCCUCAGACGCCUGGAGGAUAAGCACACAAAUCCAUUCUAGCCAGAACCCAGCUGUGUAAGCCCAGAGGUCCUGGAAUGUAAAUGCAACCAUCAUUUCAGGCAUUCCAUUUCAAGAAUCCCUGGAUGGAGUGUUACUGGUGGUAGCUUUGCUCCAUUGAAAUGGAACUCAGGUCUGCCAGCAAGUGUAGGGCCAGGAGGCUUGUUUCUUCAUACAGCUGCCCUGUCAGCCUCAAAUGAAGAGAAGAUUACAGUCUGGGAGGAACACAAGAAAUGCUUAGUGAUAUGUAGCAGGAGCAAACUCCAGAUCCACAUCUCUAGAGGCCAUUGUAAAGGAAGUAAAACUACUCAGUCUGAAGUCACCGUCUUAAGGAUAAUAAGGAAAUACCAAAAGGUUGAGAGGAAUCACCUGAGAGUCAGGAAGAUCUGACUUCAAAUUCUGUCUCUGACACAUGGGUUGCCAUCAUCUUGAUUUCUGCUAUUGCUUUUCCUGGAUUCAGUAUUUUAGGGCUGGUUCUGGUAUAGUCCAUGAUGGUUUGAUGUCAGUACAAAGAGAAUGGGUUCUAUAACUGGACCAGCCACUCCUCUAUAAAGCCAUCCAUAGAGUCAGUCAUCUGGUGAUAGGUCUGCAUGAAGACUCUGGGUCCUAAAUACUCAUCAUGUUUAUUCAGAUCAGGAUCACAUGUGUGCAUUCAGGGUUUAUCUCCAUAUUUGUCCGAGUCCAAUUUGUAGAUGGCACAUUUCUUGAGAUGGGGAGCUGCAGUGGUUGCUGCCUGGGGCUCCUUGGUGGACCUCAGGGAGCAGAGAAAUUCCUGGGAUAAGACCAUGCCUCAACAAAUUUCAAACUGCCAUUGCAUUUUGGCCAAUGACCUCCCCCCUUCCCGAAAUAACUUUUUAAAAGCUACAUAAUACAGGAAUUGCUUAGUGUGACAAAUUUCUAGACCAGGAGCUCCUCUCACUGAUAAAAUCAUAAAUUUUAUAAAGCAUUUUAUUGUUAAUAGAGCAAUAACAUUAAGAAACAAUAAACAAUAAUGGCACCAACA